Molecule: small nucleolar RNA, 107 nt
Filed under: Olea europaea subsp. europaea
Lineage: Eukaryota; Viridiplantae; Streptophyta; Magnoliopsida; Lamiales; Oleaceae
Description: Plant small nucleolar RNA R71
Rfam family: Plant small nucleolar RNA R71
About the family: R71 is a member of the C/D box family of snoRNAs containing the C (UGAUGA) and D (CUGA) box motifs. Multiple nearly identical copies of this snoRNA have been identified in Arabidopsis, and it is thought to function as a 2'-O-ribose methylation guide for 18S ribosomal RNA.
Source: Rfam by way of RNAcentral
AUUCAGUGUUAUGGGCAUUGACAGAGUAAACCCUUGUAUCGUUCCCAUGCCUCUGAGUAGCAUUCUGAGUCUAGUUGUUGGAAGGUGGUAAUCUCAUCCCUUAGCUU